Corynebacterium urealyticum DSM 7111 is the source of this 135-nucleotide non-coding RNA. The record is from Rfam. NCBI's taxonomy places the organism in Bacteria, Bacillati, Actinomycetota, Actinomycetes, Mycobacteriales, Corynebacteriaceae.
CCGACCCACCCCUAUGGACGUGCGACGGAGUCCUGGGGGAGAGGUAAUACCAAGAAAUAGACCUCCAUCGCACCGCCUAACUUUUCUAAAAGUUCACGCGGCCCAAUCACGGGAGAGAACGCUGAGUGUAACAAC